UUAAAAGAAAAAUUGAAACCUUUUAUCCCCGUUGACAAAAAAAAACCCUUUAUCUCCAGCCCCGACUAAACUCCAUUCUCUCUAGUUCAUGAAGAUAGCGAUUCAGUAUCUGAACCUAAUUGAUCCUGUAAACUUACACAACGAAACCCAAUCCUCUUCGUAUCGGAGUCUGUGACCACUACGGAGCCAGCUGGAUAAGAUAUCAGAGAAGAACCACCACGGUGGUGAUUGACGAUGACGACGGGAAGAAGAAGUCUUCGAACUCUCCCUCUUUUAUGAAAUCGAAUGCUUACCCCUUGUUCGGAAGGGAGAAGCUUGUACACAAGGUUCUCGGCUGUGGAAACUUUGUAGUGGAUGCAAUGGUGGUGGCUCGAUGGCUGAGACGUUGAUGGUGGGAGUAACGUUAUCUAGUUUGUUAACCAUGGACAGAGAAUUCAAAUAAAAUACUAUACUCUUUGGUGAUACGGCUUAUGUUCUUUGGACAUGCCGAUGAUGGUGCUGACUAUCACUUGUUUAAUACAAGAGAGGUGAUUUUGUUUGACUUUUGAUAUGUAUGAGAGUUUAAUUGUCUGAAUGGAUGAUCCUGCCACAACUUUUGCAAAACGUGACGGUAGGGAUACGGAGAUGGAGGCCGUGGUGGAGGUGGCUUUAGAUACCGCAAUGGAGGUUAUGGAGGAGGAUGUAGUGGAUGCAGAGAUGGAAGACGUGAGGGGUGUUGAAUGUGGCUGUGGAUACUGCAAUGGUGUUGAAGGUGGCUGUGGAUACUGCAAUAGAGGUGUGGUCGAGGUGGCUGUGGAUACUGCAAUGGAGGUGUGGUUGAGGUGGCUGUGGAUACUGCAAUGGAGGUUGCGGUAGCGGAGGUGGCUACUCUGAAAGGAGAAGGUGGUGGUUGUAAAAUAUGUACACCUACACUUCAAAUAUAUCAUCAAAAAAACAUUUCCAUGGAUGUUAAAAAGAUGUCUGUGAAAAUUAUGUCCACAUAGUUAUGUACAUAAAUAUUUAUUUAAACACAGAAAACCAAUACUCACCGCAAGAUUUAAAAUUA
Molecule: long non-coding RNA, 1045 nt
Organism: Raphanus sativus (radish)
Lineage: Eukaryota; Viridiplantae; Streptophyta; Magnoliopsida; Brassicales; Brassicaceae
Exons: 3
Source: RefSeq, a predicted model, not a curated record